GGUUAAGCGACUAAGCGUACACGGUGGAUGCCCUGGCAGUCAGAGGCGAUGAAGGACGUGCUAAUCUGCGAAAAGCGUCGGUAAGGUGAUAUGAACCGUUAUAGCCGGCGAUGUCCGAAUGGGGAAACCCAGUGUGAUUCGUCACACUAUCGUUAACUGAAUACAUAGGUUAACGAGGCGAACCGGGGGAACUGAAACAUCUAAGUACCCCGAGGAAAAGAAAUCAACCGAGAUUCCCCCAGUAGCGGCGAGCGAACGGGGAGCAGCCCAGAGUCUGAAUCAGCUUGUGUGUUAGUGGAACGGUCUGGAAAGUCCGACGGUACAGGGUGAUAGUCCCGUACACCAAAAUGCACAGGUUGUGAACUCGAAGAGUAGGGCGGGACACGUGGUAUCCUGUCUGAAUAUGGGGGGACCAUCCUCCAAGGCUAAAUACUCCUGACUGACCGAUAGUGAACCAGUACCGUGAGGGAAAGGCGAAAAGAACCCCGGCGAGGGGAGUGAAAAAGAACCUGAAACCGUGUACGUACAAGCAGUGGGAGCACCUUCGGGUGUGACUGCGUACCUUUUGUAUAAUGGGUCAGCGACUUAUAUUCUGUAGCAAGGUUAACCGUAUAGGGGAGCCGCAGGGAAACCGAGUCUUAACUGGGCGUUAAGUUGCAGGGUAUAGACCCGAAACCCGGUGAUCUAGCCAUGGGCAGGUUGAAGGUUGGGUAACACUAACUGGAGGACCGAACCGACUAAUGUUGAAAAAUUAGCGGAUGACUUGUGGCUGGGGGUGAAAGGCCAAUCAAACCGGGAGAUAGCUGGUUCUCCCCGAAAGCUAUUUAGGUAGCGCCUCGUGAACUCAUCUUCGGGGGUAGAGCACUGUUUCGGCUAGGGGGUCAUCCCGACUUACCAACCCGAUGCAAACUACGAAUACCGAAGAAUGUUAUCACGGGAGACACACGGCGGGUGCUAACGUCCGUCGUGAAGAGGGAAACAACCCAGACCGCCAGCUAAGGUCCCAAAGUCAUGGUUAAGUGGGAAACGAUGUGGGAAGGCACAGAUAGCCAGGAUGUUGGCUUAGAAGCAGCCAUCAUUUAAAGAAAGCGUAAUAGCUCACUGGUCGAGUCGGCCUGCGCGGAAGAUGUAACGGGGCUAAACCAUGCACCGAAGCUGCGGCAGCGACACUAUGUGUUGUUGGGUAGGGGAGCGUUCUGUAAGCCUGCGAAGGUGGCCUGUGAGGGUUGCUGGAGGUAUCAGAAGUGCGAAUGCUGACAUAAGUAACGAUAAAGCGGGUGAAAAGCCCGCUCGCCGGAAGACCAAGGGUUCCUGUCCAACGUUAAUCGGGGCAGGGUGAGUCGACCCCUAAGGCGAGGCCGAAAGGCGUAGUCGAUGGGAAACAGGUUAAUAUUCCUGUACUUGGUGUUACUGCGAAGGGGGGACGGAGAAGGCUAUGUUAGCCGGGCGACGGUUGUCCCGGUUUAAGCAUGUAGGCUGGUUGUCCAGGCAAAUCCGGAUAAUCAAGGCUGAGGUGUGAUGACGAGGCACUACGGUGCUGAAGUAACAAAUGCCCUGCUUCCAGGAAAAGCCUCUAAGCAUCAGGUAACAUCAAAUCGUACCCCAAACCGACACAGGUGGUCAGGUAGAGAAUACCAAGGCGCUUGAGAGAACUCGGGUGAAGGAACUAGGCAAAAUGGUGCCGUAACUUCGGGAGAAGGCACGCUGGUGUGUAGGUGAAGCCCCUGCGGGUGGAGCUGAGACCAGUCGAAGAUACCAGCUGGCUGCAACUGUUUAUUAAAAACACAGCACUGUGCAAACACGAAAGUGGACGUAUACGGUGUGACGCCUGCCCGGUGCCGGAAGGUUAAUUGAUGGGGUUAUCCGUAAGGAGAAGCUCUUGAUCGAAGCCCCGGUAAACGGCGGCCGUAACUAUAACGGUCCUAAGGUAGCGAAAUUCCUUGUCGGGUAAGUUCCGACCUGCACGAAUGGCGUAAUGAUGGCCAGGCUGUCUCCACCCGAGACUCAGUGAAAUUGAACUCGCUGUGAAGAUGCAGUGUACCCGCGGCAAGACGGAAAGACCCCGUGAACCUUUACUAUAGCUUGACACUGAACAUUGAGCCUUGAUGUGUAGGAUAGGUGGGAGGCUUUGAAGCGUGGACGCCAGUCUGCGUGGAGCCAACCUUGAAAUACCACCCUUUAAUGUUUGAUGUUCUAACGUUGGCCCCUGACCGGGGUUGCGGACAGUGUCUGGUGGGUAGUUUGACUGGGGCGGUCUCCUCCCAAAGCGUAACGGAGGAGCACGAAGGUUAGCUAAUCCUGGUCGGACAUCAGGAGGUUAGUGCAAUGGCAUAAGCUAGCUUGACUGCGAGCGUGACGGCGCGAGCAGGUGCGAAAGCAGGUCAUAGUGAUCCGGUGGUUCUGAAUGGAAGGGCCAUCGCUCAACGGAUAAAAGGUACUCCGGGGAUAACAGGCUGAUACCGCCCAAGAGUUCAUAUCGACGGCGGUGUUUGGCACCUCGAUGUCGGCUCAUCACAUCCUGGGGCUGAAGUAGGUCCCAAGGGUAUGGCUGUUCGCCAUUUAAAGUGGUACGCGAGCUGGGUUUAGAACGUCGUGAGACAGUUCGGUCCCUAUCUGCCGUGGGCGCUGGAGAAUUGAGGGGGGCUGCUCCUAGUACGAGAGGACCGGAGUGGACGCAUCACUGGUGUUCGGGUUGUCAUGCCAAUGGCACUGCCCGGUAGCUAAAUGCGGAAGAGAUAAGUGCUGAAAGCAUCUAAGCACGAAACUUGCCCCGAGAUGAGUUCUCCCUGAGACUUUAAGUCUCCUGAAGGAACGUUAAAGACGAUGACGUUGAUAGGCCGGGUGUGUAAGCGCAGCGAUGCGUUGAGCUAACCGGUACUAAUGAACCGUGAGGCUUAACCUU
RNAcentral lists this ribosomal RNA (2902 nucleotides) under Klebsiella pneumoniae. RNAcentral's name for it is "23S ribosomal RNA". It matches the Rfam family "Bacterial large subunit ribosomal RNA". Lineage: Bacteria; Pseudomonadati; Pseudomonadota; Gammaproteobacteria; Enterobacterales; Enterobacteriaceae. The record is from RNAcentral.